AUUUAAAUAAUUUAAAUAAAAUAUUGAUUUGUGGAAUCAAAAAUGUAUAAUUUUACUUUAAAUA
This 64-nucleotide transfer RNA is filed under the name Nasonia longicornis. RNAcentral describes it as "tRNA-His". The record is from RNAcentral. Lineage: Eukaryota; Metazoa; Arthropoda; Insecta; Hymenoptera; Pteromalidae.